UAGUAUUAUAGUUCUUUUAGAAUUUGUCCAGCAGGCUUUUCUAUUAGACCCUG
RNAcentral lists this small nuclear RNA (53 nucleotides) under Dasypus novemcinctus (nine-banded armadillo). RNAcentral's name for it is "U7 small nuclear RNA (ENSDNOG00000028203.1)". It matches the Rfam family "U7 small nuclear RNA". From Rfam's summary of the family: Animal histone pre-mRNAs are spliced by a different mechanism than nuclear pre-mRNAs and self-splicing introns. Lineage: Eukaryota; Metazoa; Chordata; Mammalia; Cingulata; Dasypodidae. The record is from RNAcentral.